Molecule: ribosomal RNA, 460 nt
Filed under: uncultured bacterium
Lineage: Bacteria
Description: partial 16S ribosomal RNA
Rfam family: Bacterial small subunit ribosomal RNA
Source: RNAcentral
CCUCCGGGUGGCAGCAGUGAGGAAUAUUGGUCAAUGGACGAGAGUCUGAACCAGCCAAGUAGCGUGAAGGAUGACUGCCCUAUGGGUUGUAAACUUCUUUUAUAUGGGAAUACAAUGUUCCACGUUUGCGUUUUUGUAUGUACCAUAUGAAUAAGGAUCGGCUAACUCCGUGCCAGCAGCCGCGGUAAUACGGAGGAUCCGAGCGUUAUCCGGAUUUAUUGGGUUGAAAGGGAGCGUAGAUGGAUUGUUAAGUCAGUUGUGAAAGUUUGCGGCUCAACCGUAAAAUUGCAAUUGAAACUGGCAGGCUUGAGUACAGUAGAGGUAGGCGGAAUUCGUGGUGUAGCGGUGAAAUGCUUAGAUAUCACGAAGAACUCCGAUUGCGAAGGCAGCUUACUGGACUGCAACUGACAGUGAGGCUCGAAAGUGUGGGUAUCAAACAGGAUUAGAUACCCGGGUAGUC